This 71-nucleotide transfer RNA is filed under the name Solirubrobacterales bacterium. Its description in RNAcentral is "tRNA-Trp". It matches the Rfam family "tRNA". Rfam says of the family: Transfer RNA (tRNA) molecules are approximately 80 nucleotides in length. Their secondary structure includes four short double-helical elements and three loops (D, anti-codon, and T loops). Further hydrogen bonds mediate the characteristic L-shaped molecular structure. tRNAs have two regions of fundamental functional importance: the anti-codon, which is responsible for specific mRNA codon recognition, and the 3' end, to which the tRNAs corresponding amino acid is attached (by aminoacyl-tRNA synthetases). tRNAs cope with the degeneracy of the genetic code in two manners: having more than one tRNA (with a specific anti-codon) for a particular amino acid; and 'wobble' base-pairing, i.e. permitting non-standard base-pairing at the 3rd anti-codon position. Lineage: Bacteria; Bacillati; Actinomycetota; Thermoleophilia; Solirubrobacterales. RNAcentral also lists the same sequence under 7 other names. The record is from RNAcentral.
GGGGGACUGGUGUAACGGCAACAUCGGGGUCUCCAAAACCCUGGCUCGAGGUUCGAUUCCUCGGUCCCCCG